Molecule: ribosomal RNA, 406 nt
Filed under: uncultured bacterium
Lineage: Bacteria
Description: partial 16S ribosomal RNA
Rfam family: Bacterial small subunit ribosomal RNA
Source: RNAcentral
AUUGAACGCUGGCGGCAGGCCUAACACAUGCAAGUCGAACGAGUGGCGGACGGGUGAGUAAUGUCUGGGAAACUGCCUGAUGGAGGGGGAUAACUACUGGAAACGGUAGCUAAUACCGCAUACCAUCAGAUGUGCCCAGAUGGGAUUGGCUUGUUGGUGGGGUAACGGCUCACCAAGGCGACGAUCCCUAGCUGGUCUGAGAGGAUGACCAGCCACAAUGGAACUGAGACACGGUCCAGACGCCUACGGGAGGCAGCAGUGGGGAAUAUGGCACAAUGGGCGAAAGUGUGAUGCAGCCUUGCCGAUCGUAUGAAGACGGCCGUCGGGUGGUAAAGUACUUUCAGCGGGGAGGCGUUACCCGCAGAAGAAGCACCGGCUAACUCCGUGCCAGCAGCCGCGGUAAUAC